Molecule: long non-coding RNA, 1111 nt
Filed under: Callithrix jacchus (white-tufted-ear marmoset)
Lineage: Eukaryota; Metazoa; Chordata; Mammalia; Primates; Cebidae
Description: lncRNA (ENSCJAG00000071492.1)
Source: RNAcentral
AUUUGGCAUGUCAGGUCCUAAUGCACCAGUGAUACAUAAGAAUUCUUUUUUACAUAGCUCUAUAGCUUAUUCCUCUGUCCUUUUUUUUUUUUUUUUUUUGAGACAGAGUCUUGCUCUGUUGCCCAGGCUGGAGUGCAAUGGCGUGAUCUUGGCUCACUGCAACCUCUGCCUCCUAGGUUCAAGUUAUUCUUCUCCCUCAGCUUCCCAAGUAGCUGGAACUACAGGUGUGCACCACCACACCUGGCUCUAGGAGAAUGCAUGACAGGUGCAGGAGGAGAAGGUGGUCCCCGGGGAAUUUUCUUAUUAAUCUUGAACCUGGGAGGCUCCAUUGGAUCUUUUUGCAUUUCUACCAUCCGAAUAACCCUCUGUUUGGCUCCAGAGUUGAAAGCCACUCCUUGCUGAGAUGGUGUGUAUCGGAUAUAUUGAGCAGGAGCCAGUUUGUCAGCUGCCCGAACUGGCAUGGCUGCAGCAACCUUCUGUGAUACAGAUUUUUCUAAGGCUGCUCUUGUCUUUUCUGUUAUCUCUGUAAUAGCUUCUUCAUCGGGCCUUUGCAGGUCUGGGUCAUCUGCAUUCAGAACCUCCUUUGGAACCAGGUCAGACCUUGUCUUUUGACUGUCCUUGUCGAGCGAUUGCAUCAUAUUUAAUUUUUCCUUCAGAAUCCACCUGAAUGGCCAGUGCAUUCAACAUUUUGUUUUCUUUCGUCCCAUAUCCAGUGGAUACUGAACCACAUGGAUCUCUGGGAAAGCACCUCCGUCUCCAAAAUCCUCUAAUAACCGAGGUAUCCAGCCUUUCCGAUAUCCAUACGGGGGAGGCUCUCUUCGGGAGGAGACCAAUGAGGUCUGCCGUGAUCUCUGGGAUCUUGCCUUUUAUUGAGCCUAGAGCUGGUCCUGAGAUAGCCGAGUAGGUGCAGGUAAAAAGCUGGCGACUAUUGGGGGGAAAAUGGGAGGGCCAGCGUGGGGGGCGGGGAGCUGGGGAGGGAUAGCCUGGGGAGAAAUGCCAAAUGUGGGUGAAGGGGAGAAAGGAAGCAAAACACACUGCCAUGUGUGUACCUAUGCAACUGUCUUGCAUGUUCUGCACAGGUACCCCAAAACCUAAAAUGCAAAAAAAAAAA